GCAUAUGUGUACCUUACAUAUGUGUAUAUAUAGAAUAAGAACCCUGAAUGCCACCAUAACAUACACCUAUUAGUGCCACCCUAAUAAAUGUUGCAGCAAUUUAAAAAGUUUAUAAAUUCAAACUCAAUUACCCCAUCUUGUCAAACUAAUUCUAAAAGUUUCAAUGUGAUCCAUGUAUUUCACUAUCUUGAACCUAUUUGAAU
Molecule: long non-coding RNA, 203 nt
Filed under: Vigna radiata
Lineage: Eukaryota; Viridiplantae; Streptophyta; Magnoliopsida; Fabales; Fabaceae
Description: long non-coding RNA (VRAD_LNC001281)
Source: RNAcentral